GUGAUGAUGAGCUGUGUGUGACCGGUGAUCGAGGUCCAAAGCGCUGA
Molecule: small nucleolar RNA, 47 nt
Filed under: Pyrobaculum neutrophilum V24Sta
Lineage: Archaea; Thermoproteati; Thermoproteota; Thermoprotei; Thermoproteales; Thermoproteaceae
Description: PNEsR27
Source: RNAcentral